UACGGAGGGUGCAAGCGUUAUCCGGAUUCACUGGGUUUAAAGGGUGCGUAGGUGGAAUGGUAAGUCAGUGGUGAAAUCUCCAAGCUUAACUUGGAACUGCCGUUGAUACUAUCAUUCUUGAAUAUCGUGGAGGUAAGCGGAAUAUGUCAUGUAGCGGUGAAAUGCUUAGAUAUGACAUAGAACACCGAUUGCGAAGGCAGCUUGCUACACGAUCAUUGACACUGAGGCACGAAAGCGUGGGGAUCAAACAGG
This 252-nucleotide ribosomal RNA is filed under the name uncultured bacterium. RNAcentral's name for it is "partial 16S ribosomal RNA". It matches the Rfam family "Bacterial small subunit ribosomal RNA", at positions 524 to 776 of the family's 1533-position model. The record is from RNAcentral.